Eriocheir sinensis (Chinese mitten crab) is the source of this 1464-nucleotide long non-coding RNA. RefSeq lists it as uncharacterized. The record is from RefSeq and is a predicted model, not a curated record. Lineage: Eukaryota; Metazoa; Arthropoda; Malacostraca; Decapoda; Varunidae. The transcript is spliced from 4 exons.
CCCGUGUCAGUGGUAGUCAAUCUAAUGCUACAAACAACAUCAACGACAACAACAAACAACAAACAAUUAAACAAUAAGAAAUGUAUUUCAAAAUGAAGAGAAAGAAGAAAAGAAAGAGAAAGACAGAGAGAAAAGAUUGACGUAGAAAAGAAAGAAAAAAGGAAAUAAUUAAUGUUUUAUACAAAAGGAAUAAAACGAGAAUAUAAAGUGUAAAAAAAAGGAUAAUGAAAAUGGUAAAGAAAAUAUUAUGAAAAGGAGAAUAAAAAUAAGAAGUGAAAUAAUGUGAAAUAGAGAGGAAAGAAAACAAUAAUGAAUAAAAAAGAAAAAUAACAGGAAAGAAACAUUGGAAAAAAAAGAGGAAGAAGAGGAAGAAGGAAGAGAGAAAGAGAACACACACACACACACACACUUCGAUCUCUUUCUCUCCCCCCUCCCACCCCGCCCCCCUUUCCACUAUGGGUGUUGGGGCGUGGUGGUGGUGGUGGUGGAGGUGGUGGGUGGUGGUGAUGGUGGUCUUGGCGUUGGAGUGUUGGUGUUACAUACCUGGAACACACUGCCAGAUGAAUGCAGACUGCCGGGGGGGCGGGGCAGGGGUGUGCGGCCCCCUCCACCCCUGCCUGUGUAUUGGGGGGGGCGGGGGCGCGGCGAGGAGGUGUCUGCCGGGUCGGGGACGUGGGGAGGACUGCCUGCGGGAUGGCCAGUGUCUUCCCCAGCACGCGGGGAUGACCUGUCUGCAUAGAAGAUGUGUCCAGGCGGAGGAAGGGACCAGAAGAGGAGGGGGAGGAGGAGGGGAAGACUCAUCCCUAUCCUCCGCCGCCCCCACCCCCCUCCAGCAACAAAACAAGCGCCCCACCGCCCUCAUCGUGGGUUCGGGGGUCAUGGUCAUCAUCGUCAUCUUCCUCGUCGCUAUCUUGACCUCCUGGUUCGCACGCUUUUUAAUCUCCCACAGCCACAACUCUCUCCCGCCUCCCUCCCCCUUCCCCUCCUCCCAACACCCCCGGGAGAGAAGAGAGGUCCAGCGGGAGCCAUCUGACCCCCCUCCCCCGUACGCCUCCCUCCCCCCACCCUCCUACGAGCAGGCCAUGGGGGUGGGGGGGCGCAGGCACAGCUUCGAUGGGGGGGAGAGGGGGAGUUUGGGGGUGGGGAGGGGAGGAGUGGGGUACGGCGCCCUCCUCUCCUCCCCUCUCACUGCCUCCACCUCCAUGAUGGAACUCCACCCGCUCCCCACCACCACCCCCAGGUUCUCCCCCUCCCCUCCCCCAUCACAGUCCCCCUCCCCUCCCCCUUCCCCAACUCACCCCCAAUAAUAUUUAGAGUAAUUCCUCUCCUUUCCCCUUCCCCUCCCCUCCCUCUCUUCCCUUCACUUAUAUACGUAAACAUAUCUAGCUACUACUACUACUACUACUACAACAUACUACAACAAAUUAAAUGUAUGAAAAUAAAUCAUAUAAUUGUAGAACCUGG